AAGUCGUAACAAGGUUUCCGUAGGUGAACCUGCGGAAGGAUCAUUAAUGAAUUUUAGGGUGUCUACUCCGGUAGAGCCUGACCUCCAUUUUCUAACUCUGUGCAUUUAUUGGCGGGCAGUGAAGGAAGGAAAAAGGUUAAACUUGUUCUCGGACUUCACUCCCUGCGGCUCAUUUUUAAACACUAGUCAAAGAAUGUAACGAAAUAUCGAAACAAAAAAAAACUUUCAACAACGGAUCUCUUGGCUCUC
Molecule: unclassified non-coding RNA, 249 nt
Filed under: Ascomycota sp.
Lineage: Eukaryota; Fungi; Ascomycota
Description: partial contains small subunit ribosomal RNA, internal transcribed spacer 1, and 5.8S ribosomal RNA
Rfam family: Eukaryotic small subunit ribosomal RNA (bases 1-46)
Source: RNAcentral